CCUGGAAACAGAUGCUAGUACCGGAUAACAACAGAUGAUGCCUAUCAACUGUUUAAAAGAUGGUUCUGCUAUCACUCUUGGAUGGACCUGCGGUGCAUUAGCUAGUUGGUAGGGUAACGGCCUACCAAGGCGAUGAUGCAUAGCCGAGUUGAGAGAAUGAUCGGCCACAUUGGGACUGAGACACGGCCCAAACUCCUACGGGAGGCAGCAGUC
This 213-nucleotide ribosomal RNA is filed under the name uncultured Lactobacillus sp. RNAcentral describes it as "partial 16S ribosomal RNA". It matches the Rfam family "Bacterial small subunit ribosomal RNA", at positions 149 to 355 of the family's 1533-position model. The record is from RNAcentral. Lineage: Bacteria; Bacillati; Bacillota; Bacilli; Lactobacillales; Lactobacillaceae.